Molecule: ribosomal RNA, 553 nt
Filed under: bacterium E-1-0-9C
Lineage: Bacteria
Description: bacterial SSU rRNA
Rfam family: Bacterial small subunit ribosomal RNA
Source: RNAcentral
UUUGGACAUGGGGGGAACCCUGAUCCAGCCAUGCCGCGUGUGUGAAGAAGGCCUUUUGGUUGUAAAGCACUUUAAGCGAGGAGGAGGAGCUCUUGGUUAAUACCCAAGAUGCUUGGACGUUACUCGCAGAAUAAGCACCGGCUAACUCUGUGCCAGCAGCCGCGGUAAUACAGAGGGUGCAAGCGUUAAUCGGAUUUACUGGGCGUAAAGCGCGCGUAGGUGGCCAAUUAAGUCAAAUGUGAAAUCCCCGAGCUUAACUUGGGAAUUGCAUUCGAUACUGGUUGGCUAGAGUAUGGGAGAGGAUGGUAGAAUUCCAGGUGUAGCGGUGAAAUGCGUAGAGAUCUGGAGGAAUACCGAUGGCGAAGGCAGCCAUCUGGCCUAAUACUGACACUGAGGUGCGAAAGCAUGGGGAGCAAACAGGAUUAGAUACCCUGGUAGUCCAUGCCGUAAACGAUGUCUACUAGCCGUUGGGGCCUUUGAGGCUUUAGUGGCGCAGCUAACGCGAUAAGUAGACCGCCUGGGGAGUACGGUCGCAAGACUANAACUCAAAUGA